GUCCACGCCCUAAACGAUGAAUACUCGAUGUGUGCUCCUUGAGGGUACGCGUCCAAGCGAAAGCGUUAAGUAUUCCACCUGGGAAGUACGGCCGCAAGGUUAAAACUCAAAGGAAUUGACGGGGCCCGCACAAGCGGAGGAGCAUGUGGUUUAAUUCGAUGGUACGCGAGGAACCUUACCUGGGCUAGAAUGCGCGUGACGUUCCGUGAAAGCGGAAUUCCCCGCAAGGGGCACAAAGCAAGGUGCUGCAUGGCUGUCGU
Molecule: ribosomal RNA, 260 nt
Filed under: uncultured bacterium
Lineage: Bacteria
Description: partial 16S ribosomal RNA
Rfam family: Bacterial small subunit ribosomal RNA
Source: RNAcentral